UCAAUCGUGUUGAUCUAGGAUAUUGCUUCACCUUUCAGUCUUUGUUACAUGUUUCAGGAAAUGCCAGCAGCUUCUGAGGUGUGAAGUAGCUCUUUACAGGCUCUUCUGUUGCUGUGGAGCUAGAGGUGGUUGGUGUGUGUACUUCGUUAUCACGAAAACCCACAAGAUUAGCUGUUACUGCUGACAUUGACUUGUUGGAGAAAUUCACUGAAAUAUGCUGAGAUUUUACUAACUUGAGUAGCACUAGCUACUUUCAGCAGUUCAGGCCACGUUUUCUCAGAUAUUCUCUUCAGAAUAAAGAAAAUAAGAUAGGAAGAGGGGAAGUGGGGGAGACCUGAAGCAGGCAAGACUUCUGUUUACCUUUAAAAAAGCAUUCCACUUGCAUGCUGGUACCCAGAAUGUCUGAAGAAUCACAGGCUGUUUAUGGACCUUUGCUUUUAUGGACAUAACUUCCACUCUUCACAUCCAGACAGUCUCUGCUCUAGAAUUCCAGUGUGAAAGAAGAGAAGUGUCUGUGCACAUUUUUGUGUCAAGAUCAGAGUGGAGGGUGAUGCUGUCCAUGCUGUGGAGGAGUAUGCUAUACAGGCUGCUGACCCAGGGCAGAAGAUAUUUUGCUGAGGAAAUCUGUCUGGAGCCCUUGGUGACUGCUUUUCAGAGCUUUUGUUCUGCCAGAAUGAGGAAGAAAAGGAAUGGAUGUGAAAGCAAACAUGCAGCAAGCAAAUGGACCGGAGGCCAUGCUGGGAACACCUGGCCUCGCUUCUUAGCAAGGAUACAGAAACACUUGGAUUUCCUGAGAUGGGACUCCUGGGCAAGAUGGGCAAGAUAAGUACCCACACCGAGGUUGUGUGGUUUCUGCUAACUGAUGAUUUAUAUCAUUUAAAUAGUGGACUAUGCAGCAUAUUAAAGGUGUUUUAUGGGGAAGAACAGUGUAAUGUUAUUCAAUUAAGACACUCCUUCCAAACAGUGGAAAAUGCAGUAGUUGCCUUACAAGUCAUUGUUCAUCUUUCCACCAAAAUGCCAUGUACAGAAUGAUUUGAAGAUUCUGAUAUUGCUUUAAAAGGAAAAAAGUAGGGUAUCAUGUUUUUCAUUUUAUAGCAACAUGAGACAUGCCAUGGAAAGACCCAGAACUCAAAUGCCUUCCACAAGCACAGGAGAGUAAUCUUUCUGUCAGACUCUAAAAAUGGCCUGGAUAUCAAAAUGUCACAGCUCUGAAUCCAGUGGCUUUGCCAUGAGGUUGCAGCUGUGAAGGCAGCACUCAAGAUUUCAUUAUGCCUUGUUGAAGGAGGAACAUGGAACUCUUGGUCUCCAGGCCCAAAUGGUAAUCAUUUAUCAGGGAAAUGUUCUUCUCAUUUUCUCUUCUCUUUGUUGAACUCUUUUGUACAUCUACAUAACUUUACAUGCCAGGACCAUUUUAUUCCUUUCCUUUCCUGUCUUUUUACACCUUAGAACUUUUCUCUUUGGAUGUCUAAGAAAAUUAACAACUGUAAGGUUGCUGCUGUAUUAUGUCUAUCACACUCAUCACCACUAUUUCACUGUUGCCUUUUACUUCUGUAUCAUCCAGUCUGUAUAACAUUCUGAACGCACAAAGCUUUUAGAGGAAAGACCAUCCUUAUGUUCUGUGCUCAUGUAAUGUCACCCUGACCCAUGAUUAAUGCUCAAAAAUGCUACGGUAAUACUUCUAUUAUUACUACUAAUCCAUCCUUAAAAAGUACUAUUUAAGAUAAUGUCAAAUAUUGAAAAACUGUUUUGAGCUCAACAGAAAUAACAUCUUCAUUGUCGUAAGACAGAUUUAAAAAUCUUACUAUUAAUAAUAAUAAGUAGACUUCCUGAGGCAAUGCAAAACAGAUGCUUUGUUUUUCACAGGAAAGUGAGGAUUUGCCAGAAAUUCUAUGACUUUAAGAACACAAGAUUAAAGGAGACAAACAUUAGGAGAUUAGCAACAGAGUCAUAAGAAAUGAAAACACUGGAUAUUCAUAAGCUAAUAGUCACAAAAAUCAGAGAUGCAAUGAAAUUCAAUUGUAAACAUUUCAGUCAUCUAAAAAUUACUAUAAUCCCAUUUUUCUUUCUUUUCUUCUUUUUGAAACACUUCUCUGAUUAAAUGAAGUUAGCUUAACUGCGGAUUGUUUAGCUCAAACAUGUAAUAUCUUCAAAGACAAUUAACAGAGUUCAGAAAAGUUCUUUGAUGUGAAAUUAGAAAAAAUUAAUGUAUUAAAAAUAUUUAUUUGGAUUUUGAUUAAGUAACCCAGGAAAGAGCCAUUCUGAGAUGGAGAGAUAGAAGUAAUUUAUAUUCUUUGAACAGGAGAGCCAUUAUUUGUAAUGGACCCAUCCAUGUGAUGGGUCACGAUGUGUUACAGCUAAAUUCAAAGAGGUUACAUGGAAAAAGCACAUAAAUACUAUGCUAGUCAUCUUCCUCAUCAAUAUAUCGUAUGCAGCCUCCGUGAAAAACUCACAGUAACCAAGACUUUAUGAAAUCUAAUGAGAAGUAUUGAAAAUAAAUACAUCUGAUACUACACGAUUUACAAAAUAUGGUAGCUGUCUUGAAUUGUUGCAUAGAGCAAGAAAAUCAGUUGGGUAGGAGUAAUGUACUAAUUAAGGAAUGCUAUAGGAAUGAUGUCUACUGAGGUAAGUUUCUAAUAGGCAUGUGGGGAGAAGAAAUCUGAUCAUAGUUAGCAGGGAAGAAGGAGUCAUACUUCGUGUAAAUCUUAAACCUGCACUACCAAGAACCAGGGAUUAAAGUGGAAGGAAAGCAAGACAUCCGAGAUGGGAUCCAUGUUGGAGAGAGAAUAUACAACCUGAAAUAUCUCACUGAUGUUGGCAACUGUGGAGUUGCAGUGGGGUUUUAGAUGUCUGUCUUCCUUUUCUUCUGUUGCUCCUUCCAUUGAUGUUGUAAGUCAGCUCUGUAAGAUGGUAUUAAAGAGACAAAAGUCUGCUGAGCUGCUGACAUGGAUUUUGAGGCUCACUACAGCCUUAGAGAGUGUGCUCUGGAAUACAGUAUCCUGAAGGAGAGACUAAGCAAGAUCUAUUGCUAUCUAUUAUAGCUAAGUAAGAGAGAAGUGAUGAAUGGCAGUUUGGAGAAGAGACUAAUCACAGACCUAUUUUAAGCUGUUGAAAAGACAUUGCUUUUUAAGGAUUCACCAAGCUCAAGAAUGGUACAAUCCAAUGAGCAGGAAAUCAAGAAGAAAUGUCAGGAAACGCAUGUGGAUGAAUGCACCUCUGUCAUUGCAGAGUCAUUCGUGAUAGUAUUUGAGAGUUCAUGGAAAUUGGGGAUAAGGAAUGAGGACUGGAAGAAAUCAAAUUCUACUAUUGUGUCCAAAAAGUGCAAGAAUGAAGAAACAGAGAACUAUAGGUCAAAUACCUUCAGUUUGAUCUCUGGGUAGCUGAAGAAGGAAAUAAUUCUUGAAGCCGUUUCCAAACUCAUUAAAGACAAAAAAUUGCAUGAGAGUAGUCAACAUGUAUUAACAAAGGGGAGAUUACAUUUAGCCAGCCUGAUAACCUCUGAUGACUGGCUUGGCGGAUGAGUAGAGAACAGUCAGCAUUGUUUAUUCUUACUUCAGUAAGGCUUUCAGCACUGUUUCCCAGAGUACCCUAAUAGAUAAAUUGAUGAAGUAUAAGGUAUAUAAAUGAACAGUGAUGUGGGUUGAAAACUUGCUGAAUUGUUGUGCUUAAAGGGUUGUCAUCACUGACAUGAACCCCGGUUGGAGGGCACUCAUAGAUGGUGUAUCAGAGAGGUUUAUCUUGGGGCCAGUGGUGUUUGACUUCCUUAUUAAUGACCUAGUCUAUGUGACAGAGGGCACCCUCGGAAGAUUUGCAGGUGACAGAAAACUGGGAGGAGUAGCAGAUAUAUCAGAUAGGAUGCCAUCCAGAGGGACUUCAACAGUCUGGAGAAGUGGGCUGAGAAGUAUCUCGUGAAGAUUAACAAAGGAAAGUGCAAGGUCCCGCACCUGAGGAGGAAUAAAACCAUCACUAGUAUAUAUUGAGGACUAACCAGCUAGAAAUCUUUGCAGAACAGCACCUAGAAAUGCUGGUGGAUGACAAGCUGAAUAUAAGCCAACAAAAUGCUCUUCCAAUGAAGCAGGCCAAGAAUAGCCUGGGCUGCAUUAGGAAAAACAUUUGCCAGUAGGUUGACAGAUGUAACCCUUCCACUCAGCACUAACAAGACACAUCUGUAGUGCUGGUCUCAUUCUGGACUCCUCGGUACAAGUGAGACAAGGAAAUACUAGAGUGAGUCCAGUGGAGAGCCAAAAAGAUGACAGACUAUAGCAUCUGUCAUACAAAGUGAGGCUGAGAAAGCUGAGACAGUUCAGCCUGGAGAAGGGAAGGCUCUAAGGGAUUUUAUCAAUGCGUAUAAAUGCCUGAUGGAGGGAAUAAGUAGACAAAGCAAGACUUUACUCAGCAGUGUCCAAUCACAAGAAAAGAGGCAAAGGACACAAAUUGAAAUAUGGGAAAUUCCAUGUGAACAUAAGUAAAAACUUCUCUAUUGUGAGGGUGUUCAAACACCAGAAAAGGUUUUCCAAAGAGCAACCUGCUCUUGCUGACCCAGGUCUGAGCAGAGGGUUCAGGGCAUUCGGCCAGAUAAUCUCCAGCCUCAAUAAUUUUGUGGUUCUAUGAUUGUGUUUACUUUUUUUUUUUUCCAAAUUUUUCUAUGAAUAGUUUAAUAUUUUUUUAAACACAAUACUAAUUAAUCUGACUUUAAACUUCUAUGAUGCUCAGUGAAAAUUCAGGUUAAUUUAACAGAAAACAUAACUACAUAAAUCCAGAUUUCCAUGACUCUAGCCAAGUUUGGAAAUUGGACUGUCUCCAAGUAAAGUAUCAAUUAAAAGUCAGUAUGAAUUUUAGUACUCUCAGAUGUCAAAUGAAAUGUUAUGGGCUGCCCCUAGUUGACAUUUCCAGUGCCUCUCCAACAGACAGUAGUGAAGAAAACUUCCUUUACAGCCAACUGCUAUGUCCUCAUAACAUGCAAAACAUGUCUCUUCUGUACAUCUUAUGGAAGAAAUGGGCUGGGUGGACAACAUACAAGGUAGAAAAGGUCCCCAUCCUAUUUGCUCUCACUUGUUCACAUGAAUCUGAGGGGUCAUAGUCCUAUUAUUCUGAAAGUAUUGCAUGCUGCAGGUGGGAGGAACAUGGAGCUAUAAAGCUUCCGGCUUCUGAAGCUUCUGCUGCUACUGUAAGAAGACAGUAUCAGAAAAGAAGUACAGUUUGUCAUAGGGAUUCUGGAAAUUUGCCAUAGUUCAGAUUUGCAGGAACAAGGAAAAAUCAGAGAAGCUCUGGGCAGAUAGAGUUUAAAGAGUGAUAGUUAAUGGUCUUUUUACCUAGUUUUUCUUCAUACAUUGUGCACAUUUCUGUAAAGAGGAGUUACAGUACACCCUUAUUGUACACUUGAGGCUUGGGAAACAUCAGCUUGCACUAAUAAAUAGCUAUGUUGAUGCAUACAUAAUAUGCUAAAAUAAUUAAUGAAUUUAAAUGAAGUCACAAUUCCAAAGAUGCUUUAUAAAAUCUCUUCAGUCGUAUCAUAUAAUUUUCUUAUAAGGACAAAAACUAACCUUGGGGAACUGUUUGCCUAAUGGUGAUGUCACAAGGUUCAUACAGUAGGCAUUUAGGAUUCACCUACCAGUAAAUGACAGCUUGCUGACAAGUAUGUCUUCAUUUGCAUACAUAAAGUCAGGAAAAAAAUUAAGUAGUACAAUCUUUAAACAUGUUCCUUUUGAAAACAGUCUUAGAUGUUGUAGCAGUGUAGUUAUGUGAAAAAAAGAGUUUGAUAACAGAAUUCAGAAAAAAUGUUGUUAUCCUUUUUAGCAUGGCUGAUUUCUUUCGAAGGUCAAAUAAUGAAAUCUAGCUCUCUUCAAUUGCUGGAUAACCUUGAAACCACAUUUAAGAUAUGCAGGAUGCAUGCUAACAUUAGCUAAUCUCUCUGAUUACAAUUCUACACAACAACUUAUUUUAGUCUUAAGGUAUGAGCCUUUUCAUUCUCCAAAAGGCAGAUUUAAAGUUAUUAAAUUCUAGAGGGAAUAAGUGAGUAAUGCAAUAUAUAAAUUAUUUGCUUAUCUACAUUAAAAUGCUCCAGAACAUAAAAUCAUGUGAAUAUAUAUAUAUAAAAAUAUAUAUAAAACCUGUAUCUUCACCUUUGUACUUUGAGAUAGAGGACUAGAUUAAGAUAUUAUUGUGGUUUUAUUUUGGGUAUAAAACUCCAUUCAUUUCAGAAGAGUUACUCUAAGCUUACCUACAGGGCGGAAACAGAUUUAAGUUCAAACAAUAAUGAAGAUAUGGAUUUAUUGAUAAUAUAUGUAAAGUUAAUGGUGUGGCUGCUUGAAAUGGUAGGUUUGAGAAUUUCUUUUAAAGGCAUAAAAACUAGUUGUAGGAUUUCUAUGUGUAAACACACGUCACACCAUCAUUAAAUGUAAUUUUUCUAUGAGAUCUUGUUAUUACACUGGCACACAGAAAAUGUUCCAACAACAGUGAAUGUUUCAGAAAGACUUCACUUAUGGCUCAGUUCAUGGACUUCACUGUAGCAUCAAGAUUCUUGCCCUGGAACAUCUGGAAACAAAACAAGUGAGAAGAGGAGGAAGGCUAAAAUCAGAGUGUUUAGACACAUGAUGGCAAUCUAAUUUACGUGCAAAUAUAAAAGUAAGGAAUAGCUUGGGCUAACAAAAAUUCUAAAUGACCAGUUCUUCACUUUAUUCUGAUCCUGUGUGACAAGAACUGGUGAAAUGAAUGAAGAGGUUGAUACAAUCCAAGGCACAGGCUGACACAGUUAUUAAAUAUGUGGGCCCAAUGCACGUGCUGUGAAAUAGUGCUAGGAAUUGAAGAGACAUGCAAAUUAACUAGCAAAGAACUGUAACUUCACAAAGAAUGUGUUCUUCAAGAUAUAAAAGAUCCACUUGUAAAGUCACAGGUUUUAUCAUUUUGCAGGGAAUAUUAAUUCAUUUUGUCUGUGUUGUUUCCUGGGAAAAGCCAGAGCUUUCCUCUCAACAAAAUUAUUUCCUAUAAAAUGAAUUUUUUGCAUCUUUUGUGGCUUCGCAUUGCAUUAUUCACCUGCUAGUGAACUCUAUCAUAUCAGAGAAAUGAUAAGGGCAGAUAUUGGAAAAAAUCUUGAAUUGAAAGAACUGCAACCUAAGAAUCAUUCUUCUCCUUCUUUAAUAUUUAUAUUGCAGUAGUGCUCAAAGAUUUUGUCGUUGUAUGUGAGAUACAAACACAGGGAUACAAAUGGACCCUUCUCAAAGUACUUUCAAUAAAAGAAUAAAAAAAAAAGAAAGAAGUGGGGAGGCUAACAAAAAAAGACUUUUUAUGAAAGGACAAUAGCUUGCAGAGUUUCUGAGAAGGCUGUUCUUCACCCUUAGAUCUGACUUUCUGACUUCAUAUUUUAGUGGAUCUCUCUGGCAGAUGGAAAAGUCUUCAGAAUCCUAAGCAAGGGUGAUUGGUUCUGGUGUUUUCAGAACUGUCUACUGCAUCCUGAACAUUUUCCAUGCAUCACUGACUGGGAACAUUUUAAGUUGGUGUCAAAGACAGAGUCUGUGGGGAAGUCUGCACACAAAUAAUACUUCUUCAUUGUUCUUGCUCAGAAGUCUUCAUGCUUUUUGCAAGCUGUUUCACCCACUGCGGCAGAAGAGUAAACUAUAAAUAAUCAAUCUGUUUUUUUUUCCUUAGCAACCCAUAUUCUCAUUUUCAGAGCCAGUAUACCACUGGAUGACAGAAAGAGAAAGUGCUCAACUCCAUUAGCACCAGCUAUCCAGUGGGGCCUGACUUGGCAGGCAUGUGAUAACUGCCAUGUAAGGAAGCAUAGGAGAGGCCACACAGGAAGAUUAUAUAAAUGAGAACCACAGCUGUAGACAGAUAAUGAAAUAUAAUGAGAUGGGCUGGAGGAAACUGGAUGUCCUUUGGCAUAAGGAAACAAACUACUUUUUGUAAGCUUUUAUUCAAGAAAAAGUGUCUUACAUUCACAUAUAUAGACCACAAUCUGUGAGAGUGGCAUAAAACAUAACUCAAAAUCUUGAAGUAGUCUCCUAAGUGGAGAUACUUACGAAACAAGAGUUCUGAAAUUCUGAAAGUGCAGUGACAGCUCCCUGGAAUCAAGCCUUUAGCGCCCUAUUUUAUUGUAUUUAGCUCUGAAGUUGGAGGGGAAGGUGAACAGUAGGGUGGUGAACAGUGUUUGAGCUUGCAGAUUUGGUCAGGGUCAUUAAAAUUGUGAAGUGUCCUCACAGGCCAGAAAAGAAAAAAAGUGUGAUGUCACUGAACAGCUGCUGGAAGCAGCACUAGCAAGGACACUGUGAGCUCCCUAGACCUAUUUCCACCCUGUCAAACUGGAGCUGGAGAGAUCACAACUACUGUGGGAACUAUCCCAACUAUUCAUGCAUGGUCUGCUGUAAGGUAUUUGCCAGCAGCUCCAGGCAUGGCCCAAGGCUACAAGAAGCAAGACAAGAAGCAAAAUGGUAAUUUAUGGCAAUUAAUUUCACCCUCUGCUUUUGGUCUAGAUAAGAAAUGGUGAGAAAAGAAAUGGUAAAGUAAGGUAAUAGGGAAAGAUACUGAGAAGUAUUUGAGUAGAGGGACUCUUGACCUUUCCUAUACAAAACCCAAAAAGAAAACAAUCAUCUAGAAGUGGUUCAAAAGAGCAAAUAUGCUGCUGAAGAAAAGAUAAUGAAAAAGACUAAGAGUCCAGAUGGAACAUGAUGUGUAAUGAAAAACUCUCUAAGAAGUAGUUCCUUUGGGAAAACUUGAUUGCCACGUUCAGGAGGCUUUGUCUCUCACUUGGUGCUCUCAUAGGUGUUACCUCUUGGGCCACAAAAGGGGAAAUUUUACUCAUGUAGUCAUGUAGGAACUCUGAGGUGUCCGAAAUAAGAAAUUCACACAGCUAACUGGUUUUGCAGAGGAAAGGAAUUUAAGUCCCUAGAGAAAGCUCACUGGAUGUUUUUAUGGAGAAGGAAGAUCUACCUGAAACUUUCAGGAAUUCAAGCAAAAGCCAGGGAAUUUCAGCAGUUUUACACCUGGUUCCUGGAGAAGCAUCUACAUCCGAAUCAUGGAGAGCAGCUAAGAUGAAGCCUAUAGAAGCAGAGAAAAUUCUCCCUAUUCCACUAAAUAGGCAUACAAAUCUAAGUUAGGCUUCAUAUGUUUUGAAAACAGCUCUUCCAUGGAUGAAAAGGAGGUUCUAUAUUGAGUGUCCUAUAAUUCCUCUAUCCAUUUAUUUUGUGAAAAGUCUCUACCACCUGUAUUUGGAUGCUCUGUAAACAAGGUACUUCUGCUUGUGCUCAUGUUUGAAUUCUGACUUGGAAAUCCUGUUUACCAAGUUACCACUUGCCUGGGUAGAGUUUCUUUGCUAGCUCUUUACUCCUGGGACACAAGGAGCUCUGAGUAAAAAAAAUAAUUUGCAACACAUAAUUUAUUUGGCAAAGUCAGCCUUUUGCUCUUUUUUCCAUGAGCGUAGCAGCAGCACGGUUUCUUGAAUGUACUCAUUAUUCAAAUAUAUUCUCUGAAUAAACAGCCGAACACUCUGUACUGUCAGAUUUUGCCAUGACAUGUUGACUGGUGAUGCAUCUCUCUUGGGCUUGGCUGAUCACUCUGAGGUUGAGAACAUUUAUGCAGAGAAAAUAUCCCACUGUGGUUUGUAAUUUGCCUCUGAGCCCCUCUCCCCUCAUUCUGAAAGGCGGAUCUGUGUGAUUAUAAGGGCUAAACUUAGAUGUGGGUGAUGGGAAGGGGCAUCAAAGAAAGCCUACAAUUCUACAGUUCUGUAGUGUAUGAUAGGACAAGCAGUCUCAUAUCAAGGGUGUUCCUUUCUAUUUCAUUAUUCAGAAGGAAUUUCUGAAGAGAUCUGAAGCAGAGUGAAGAAAAGCAACUGAGUUUUGUCUAUUCCAGAGCCUGACAAACUUGUUGGGGGAGUUGUGUUGUCUACCUAGACAAGACUUCCUUGUCUGUCUGCAUCUUGAGUCAAGCUACUGUGGCAGUGGUCCAGGUGGGAAGAAUCAGCUGCUGAUCUCUGAGCAGCGCAGGCAGGGAUGGGAGGGCUGGGGUGUGUGGGAGCUGUUGGCAGGGUGC
Molecule: long non-coding RNA, 10020 nt
Organism: Numida meleagris (helmeted guineafowl)
Lineage: Eukaryota; Metazoa; Chordata; Aves; Galliformes; Numididae
Exons: 6
Source: RefSeq, a predicted model, not a curated record